Trichonephila inaurata madagascariensis is the source of this 71-nucleotide non-coding RNA. NCBI's taxonomy places the organism in Eukaryota, Metazoa, Arthropoda, Arachnida, Araneae, Nephilidae. The record is from the annotation of a GenBank genome assembly.
GUUCCGGUAGUGUAGGGUUAUCACGUUCGCUUUACACGAAAAGGUCUCCGGUUCGACCCCGGACGGAAACC